RNAcentral lists this long non-coding RNA (823 nucleotides) under Homo sapiens (human). RNAcentral's name for it is "HSALNT0187745". Lineage: Eukaryota; Metazoa; Chordata; Mammalia; Primates; Hominidae. The record is from RNAcentral.
AGCUCCCGGGACCCGCAGGCGCUCGGGUCUCAGUUCUUGCGGGUGGGAGUCGGCUGAAGGAGCUGCGUUAUAUGGUUGUGACAUCACCCUCCCCGGCCCCCAUUUUCAGGUCAGAACUUUCAUGCCUUUGGAAACGAGGGACCCAGAAGAGCCCUUACUGUAGGAGGAAUGUCGCCGUUAGACCUCUAAGCUCCGAAGAACCAAGGGGAGACAGAAUCCAGAUUGCUUCCUUAAAUCCCAAGUAGUAUUGUUUUUUCCACCUUAGAGUCCGCCCCCCCGCCCCCACUUGUCCCAUAUAUUGAUCGGCCACUUUGCCACCGUGUUCCAAGGUUGGAGAGCGUCACAAUGCCCCACCGUCCCCAACUCUCAAGUGGCCGACAGUGGGCAGUCCAGAAGCUGGGACCAGACUCAUCUGCCCGAGGGCACAGUAGGAGGGACGGAGGGAUCUCCCAAGAGCUCCGAGGGCGAGGUGAGAACCAAUUGUGGGGAGGGGGACCUUAUAACGGGGCAGUUAGGAACGGGCAGAGGUGCCCCCACCUCCAGCUUUCAACUCAGGCGAGGAAACUUCGAGACCUUCCCGUCCACACCUGAUUGACAGAAGGAAGCUGUCGCGGCCCAGGAGGCGAGUGUGGGUGUGCAGAGGUGGAGACAAAACCUAAAAGCACGCAGAGCCGGCGAGGGCUUGCGGUCCUGGACGGUAGGGGUCUGCGUCUGGUGCCACCUUCUCCAUCAGGCUGCUUGCUGGGUCCACCAAGCCUGACCCCUCCAGCCAGGAGGGGAUCACGGAGUGUGUCCCCCGCCCGGGCUGCUGCCUGCCGGAAGG